UACGGAGGAUCCGAGCGUUGUCCGGAUUUAUUGGGUUUAAAGGGUGCGUAGGCGGACUAAUAAGUCAGGGGUGAAAGCCGGUAGCUUAACUAUCGAAUAGCCUUUGAAACUGCUAGUCUUGAAUACUGUUGAGGUAGGCGGAAUGUAUCAUGUAGCGGUGAAAUGCAUAGAUAUGAUACAGAACACCGAUUGCGAAGGCAGCUUACUAAGCAGUGAUUGACGCUGAGGCACGAAAGCGUGGGGAUCAAACAGGAUUAGAUACCCUGGUAGUCCACGCUGUAAACGUUGAAUACUUGCUGUUGGCGAUAUACAGUCAGCGGCUCAGCGAAAGCGUUAAGUAUUCCACCUGGGGAGUACGGUCGCAAGAUUGAA
RNAcentral lists this ribosomal RNA (372 nucleotides) under uncultured bacterium. RNAcentral's name for it is "bacterial SSU rRNA". It matches the Rfam family "Bacterial small subunit ribosomal RNA", at positions 524 to 898 of the family's 1533-position model. The record is from RNAcentral.